AGUAAGAUAAGCUAAAUUUAAGCUAUUGGGCUCAUACCCUGAAGAUAUGGACUACCGUUCUUACUA
RNAcentral lists this transfer RNA (66 nucleotides) under Chloeia sp. r EEE-2022. RNAcentral describes it as "tRNA-Met". The record is from RNAcentral. Lineage: Eukaryota; Metazoa; Annelida; Polychaeta; Eunicida; Amphinomidae.